This 494-nucleotide ribosomal RNA is filed under the name uncultured bacterium. RNAcentral's name for it is "bacterial SSU rRNA". It matches the Rfam family "Bacterial small subunit ribosomal RNA", at positions 1 to 526 of the family's 1533-position model. The record is from RNAcentral.
ACUAGCAGUAAGAGUUUGAUCCUGGCUCAGGACGAACGCUGGCGGCACGCCUAACACAUGCAAGUCGAACGGCCCCUUCGGGGGCAGUGGCGGACGGGUGAGUAACGCGUGGGAACCUGCCCCUUGGUUCGGGACAACCCGGGGAAACCCGAGCUAAUACCGAAUGCGCUCCCAGGCUUUGGUCUGGGAGGAAAGAUUUAUCGCCGAGGGAUGGGCCCGCGUCGGAUUAGGUAGUUGGUGAGGUAACGGCUCACCAAGCCUACGAUCCGUAGCUGGUCUGAGAGGAUGAUCAGCCACACUGGGACUGAGACACGGCCCAGACUCCUACGGGAGGCAGCAGUGGGGAAUAUUGGACAAUGGGCGAAAGCCUGAUCCAGCAAUGCCGCGUGAGUGAUGAAGGCCUUCGGGUUGUAAAGCUCUUUUACCCGGGAUGAUAAUGACAGUACCGGGAGAAUAAGCUCCGGCUAACUCCGUGCCAGCCGCCGCGGUAAUAC